CCUUAUACUGAGAUUUAGAAUUUGAGCUUAAAAGUCUAUACUACUAUCUUAGAACAAUGAUCUUCCUUUAGACCUUAGUGAACUGAGUCUUUGUUAAAUCAUUGUCUCCCUUUUGUAGGAUGAUAUGACCAAGGGGAGACCAUCAGUAAAAAAAUUCAAAACCAAGGAUGCUCCAAGUAGGGCAUAAUAUAUUGAAUUAUUCUGAGCUAUCCAGGGUUUGACCGCUACCCUGGGUCACAAUAAAGCUCAUAAUAUCGGCCACCCUCCUCCUAUAAACAAUCACCACCCCCAAGAUCAUGGGAUUUCCCACAACAUCUUGGAGUUUUGAAAGUUGAACCCUCCCUAGUUUGAUGGCAAACCAAACCCCAUGGUAGCUAAGGCAUGGAUCAUGCAGAUCGAGAAGCUCUUCUUAGUUUUGGAGCUUACGAAAGUAGAAGGUCCCUUUGGCCGCUUUUCUGUUCACUGUGGAGGUCAAACACGGGUGGCAUCUUAAGAAGGAUACUCUACUAAUAUCAACCACUUAGGACCAGUUUUUGGAUGCCUUUCUGAAGAAUUUCUUUCCAGUAUAUAUCUGCAAGAAAAAAGAGGAAGAAUUUCAGGACUUGCAUCAAGGUAACCUAUCAGUGAAUCAUUAUGAUAUGACAUUCGUCCAGUUGUCCAGAUUUAACCCAG
RNAcentral lists this long non-coding RNA (672 nucleotides) under Carica papaya (papaya). RNAcentral describes it as "long non-coding RNA (CPAP_LNC010095)". The record is from RNAcentral. Lineage: Eukaryota; Viridiplantae; Streptophyta; Magnoliopsida; Brassicales; Caricaceae.